CAGGGGGUACCGGUACAGAGUCAAUGUGGAGGCUAUAUACAUGGGGUACCGGUACAGAGUCAAUGUGGAGGCUAUAUACAGGGGGUACCGGUACAGAGUCAAUGUGGAGGCUAUAUACAUGGGGUACCGGUACAGAGUCAAUGUGGAGGCUAUAUACAGGGGGUACCGGUACAGAGUCAAUGUGGAGGCUAUAUACAUGGGGUACCGGUACAGAGUCAAUGUGGAGGCUAUAUACAGGGGGUACCGGUACAGAGUCAAUGUGGAGGCUAUAUACAGGGGGUACCGGUACAGAGUCAAUGCGGAGGCUAUAUACAUGGGGUACCGGUACAGAGUCAAUGUGGAGGCUAUAUACAUGGGGUACCGGUACAGAGUCAAUGUGGAGGCUAUAUACAGGGGGUACCGGUACAGAGUCAACGUGGAGGCUAUAUACAGGGGGUACCGGUACAGAGUCAAUGUGGAGGCUAUACACAGGGGGUACCGGUACAGAGUCAAUGUGGAGGCUAUAUACAUGGGGUACCGGUACAGAGUCAAUGUGGAGGCUAUAUACAGGGGUUACCGGUACAGAGUCAACGUGGAGGCUAUAUACAGGGGGUACCGGUACAGAGUCAAUGUGGAGGCUAUAUACAGGGGGUACCGGUACAGAGUCAAUGCGGAGGCUAUGUACAGGGGGUACCGGUACAGAGUCAAUGUGGAGGCUAUAUACAGGGGGUACUGGUACAUAGUCAAUUAAAGUGACUAUGCAUAGAAAAUAAACAGAGAAGCAGCAUUUACAGGGGGGGGGGGGGUGCAAUGCAAAUAGUCUGGGUAGCCUUCUGGAUGUCAUAAGGUGAACGCACCAAUUUGUAAGUCGCUCUGGAUAAGAGCGUCUGCUAAAUGACUUAAAUGUAAAUGUUAAAUGUAGCCAUUUGAUUAGCUCAGGGCUGCCCAACCCUCUUCCCGGAGAUCUACCGUACUGUGGGUUUUCAGUCCAACCCUGAUUUAACACACCUGAUUCUACUAAUUGGCUGCUCAACAAGACCUUAACUAGCUGAAUACCCUCUGUAGUGCCUUACGGUCGGAGGCAGUUGCCUUACCAGGCAGUGAUGCAGCCAGUCAGGAUGCUCUCGAUGGUGCAGCUGUAAAUCUUUUUGAGGAUCUGAGGACUCAUGCCAAAUCUUUUCGGUCUCCUGAGGGGGAAUAGGGUUUGUUGUGCCCUCUUCAUGACUGUCUUGGUGUGUUUGGACCAUGAUAGUUUGUUGGUGAUGUGGACACCAAGGAACUUGAAGCUCUCAACCUGCUCUACCACAGCCCCGAACGAACCCAUUCCUCAACAAAACCUGAACUCAGGGGUCAAUGUAACAUACUGACUGUAAAAACAACCUGAACUCCAAGGUUCAUGUAACAUACUGACUAAUAACAACCUGAACUCACGGGUCAACAUAACAUACUGACUGUAAAAACAACCUGAACUCAGGGGUCAACACAACAUACUGACUGUAAAAACAACCUGAACUCAGGGGUCAACAUAACAUACUGACUGUAAAAACAACCUGAACUCAGGGGUCAACACAACAUACUGACUGUAAAAACAACCUGAACUCAGGGGUCAACAUAACAUACUGACUGUAAAAACAACCUAAACUCAGGGGUCAACAUAACAUACUGACUGUAAAAGAGACAAUAAUAGGGACUGUAACAAGUGUGCUUGCUGGAUAUGUAGCUAUAUUAUGAGGUCAGUCUGGACACCAACACCCAGUGGGUUUUGUUAACCAGAGGGUAUGAAACCAUAGUGGUAAACACUACUUCUGUUAUGAGAAACAGGAAGUUGUGUCGGGCCAGAGAUCUUUCUGUGGAUCCAUGAACGUCGCUGGUGGCAGACUGAGACACCACAAAGACAGAGCAGAUCAAGGAAAACCGGGAGGCCCACCUGGCAGCCAUGAUGGAACGCCUGCAGGAGAAGUUGAGAGAAGUGUCGUGGAAAAUUGCAAGAUUAUGUUAUAAUGCUUGUAUUGCAUUAUAAUGGUUGUUUUAUUCGACAGAAUAGAAUAUUCUGUUAACUAUUGUGUGUGUGUGUGUUCCACUGAGGAUGGGCCUCUAUGAGAUAGCACUGACAGAGGAGAUUUGCGAUGUCUUUGGGUGAUAAAACCUAAAGAGCAUUCCAGAGAACAUGAGCUAAUGGUUCUGUUCUAUGCCGUACCAGGGAGAGACAGUUCCCUUUUGGAGUAAGGGGGCCAGACACUGGUCUUUACAAUGAAAACUGUUGACACAGCAGUAACUGUCUGCUAAGUUUUAUAGAUAUCUUUCAUACAAAUCUUAACCUUUGUGAACUGUUCCUAAGAUCUGUGGUUCGUCAGUAUAAGUUGAGAGGGGUGUAUCUUGGCUAUAAAAGAUCUUUGUACUUUUCUGUUGGUACUUUUCAAUGGUUUAUUAGAGAUAGCGCAUCAUUGAAAGUCAAAAAAGGCUAUUGCAAAGCUCUUAUUAAAAAUUAUGUAGUUUAAGUAUAACGACUGGUGUGUGAAGUUUGUAACUCUGCUCAUUUGGUAAAGCAGAAAUAUGCCAAAACAGAAGAUUGCCAGUAGUAGUAGUAGUAGUACUGCAGUAGUAGUAGUAGUUCUGUAGUAGUAGUAGUAAUACUGUAGUAGUAGCAGUGUUAGUAGUAAUACUAUUGAAGUAGUAGUAGUAGUGCUGUAGUAGUAGUAGUAGUAGUAGUAGUAGUAGUAGUAGUAGUAGUACUAUUACUAGUAGUCGUUGUAGUAGUAGUACUGUAGUAGUAGUAGUAGUAGUAGUAGUAGUAGUAGUAGUAGUACUAGUAGUAGUAGUAGUAGUAGUAGUAGUAGUAGUAGUAGCACAAUUGGCAUAGCGUCGUCCGGGUUAGGGGUUAGGGAGGGAUUGGCCGGUAGGGAUAUCCUUGUCUCAGUAUGUAAAAAAUGUAAUAAAAUGUAUGCACUCUACUGUAAGUCGCUCUGGAUAAGAGCGUCUGCUAAAUGACUAAAAUGUAAAUGUAAAUGUACUGCAGUAGUAGUAGUAGUAAUGGUGUAGUAGUAAUGGUGUAGCAGGGUAGUAACGUAAUAUUAAUGUAAGAUGGAGCAGAUCAAGGAGAACCGCCAGGCCCACCUGGCAGCCAUGAUGGAACGCCUGCAGGAGAAGGAGAGACAUGCAGCCGUGGUGCGCAGGAACAAAGAGCUGAGGGACGAGCUGACAGCGUGAGCCCCACCUCUCCCCAAUGUCCACCAACCACGUCCCUCCACCCAGCCGCCCAACCCCUGGAAACUCCACAGCAGACACCAAGACCUGGAGGGUGGAGGACUUCACUACCACCACACUGCACCACCCACCCGACCCCUCCACACACACACACACACACACACACACACACACACACACACACACACACACACACACACACACACACACACACACACACACACACACACACACACACACACACACACACACACACACACACACACAAUCAGUAUUAACAGUAUUUUUAAUUGGAUAAGUACCAUCUCAUUAUUUUCUGUGCUAAAGUCAAGGAAACAUGUAAACUGCCAAAUAAAAGAACCAAUGACCUAAACAUA
Salvelinus fontinalis (brook trout) is the source of this 3560-nucleotide long non-coding RNA. RefSeq lists it as uncharacterized. The transcript is spliced from 2 exons. The record is from RefSeq and is a predicted model, not a curated record. NCBI's taxonomy places the organism in Eukaryota, Metazoa, Chordata, Actinopteri, Salmoniformes, Salmonidae.